Molecule: ribosomal RNA, 254 nt
Filed under: uncultured bacterium
Lineage: Bacteria
Description: partial 16S ribosomal RNA
Rfam family: Bacterial small subunit ribosomal RNA
Source: RNAcentral
UACGUAGGGUGCGAGCGUUUAUCCGGAAUUAUUGGGCGUAAAGAGCUCGUAGGCGGUUUGUCGCGUCUGCCGUGAAAGUCCGGGGCUCAACUCCGGAUCUGCGGUGGGUACGGGCAGACUAGAGUGAUGUAGGGGAGACUGGAAUUCCUGGUGUAGCGGUGAAAUGCGCAGAUAUCAGGAGGAACACCGAUGGCGAAGGCAGGUCUCUGGGCAUUAACUGACGCUGAGGAGCGAAAGCAUGGGGAGCGAACAGG